RNAcentral lists this ribosomal RNA (303 nucleotides) under uncultured bacterium. RNAcentral's name for it is "bacterial SSU rRNA". It matches the Rfam family "Bacterial small subunit ribosomal RNA", at positions 30 to 334 of the family's 1533-position model. The record is from RNAcentral.
AUUGAACGCUGGCGGCAUGCUUUACACAUGCAAGUCGAACGGCAGCACGGGGGCAACCCUGGUGGCGAGUGGCGAACGGGUGAGUAAUGCAUCGGAACGUAUCUUUAAGUGGGGGAUAACGCAUCGAAAGAUGCGCUAAUACCGCAUAAUCUCUGAGGAGAAAAGCAGGGGAUCGCAAGACCUUGCGCUUUUGGAGCGGCCGAUGUCUGAUUAGCUAGNGGUGGGGUAAAGGCUUACCAAGGCUUCGAUCAGUAGCUGGUCUGAGAGGACGACCAGCCACACUGGGACUGAGACACGGCCCGA